This 497-nucleotide ribosomal RNA is filed under the name uncultured bacterium. RNAcentral's name for it is "partial 16S ribosomal RNA". It matches the Rfam family "Bacterial small subunit ribosomal RNA", at positions 28 to 507 of the family's 1533-position model. The record is from RNAcentral.
GAUGAACGCUGGCGGCGUGCCUAAUACAUGCAAGUCGAGCGAACAGACGAGGAGCUUGCUCCUUCGACGUUAGCGGCGGACGGGUGAGUAACACGUAGGUAACCUACCUAUAAGACUGGGAUAACUUCGGGAAACCGGAGCUAAUACCGGAUAAUAUUUCGAACCGCAUGGUUCGAUAGUGAAAGAUGGCUUUGCUAUCACUUAUAGAUGGACCUGCGCCGUAUUAGCUAGUUGGUAAGGUAACGGCUUACCAAGGCGACGAUACGUAGCCGACCUGAGAGGGUGAUCGGCCACACUGGAACUGAGACACGGUCCAGACUCCUACGGGAGGCAGCAGUAGGGAAUCUUCCGCAAUGGGCGAAAGCCUGACGGAGCAACGCCGCGUGAGUGAUGAAGGUCUUCGGAUCGUAAAACUCUGUUAUUAGGGAAGAACAAACGUGUAAGUAACUGUGCACGUCUUGACGGUACCUAAUCAGAAAGCAACGGCUAACUACGUG